This 5321-nucleotide long non-coding RNA is filed under the name Manihot esculenta (cassava). RNAcentral describes it as "long non-coding RNA (MESC_LNC000461)". Lineage: Eukaryota; Viridiplantae; Streptophyta; Magnoliopsida; Malpighiales; Euphorbiaceae. The record is from RNAcentral.
ACAAACGAAGCUUUUUGCUUCACAACAGUCAAAACCUUGUGACUUAUCAAAACACUCUGCAAGAGCUGCUCAAACUCAGCAAAUAAACCAGGGGAGACGUGGCCAAGCUUCUGGCAACAAGUUGGACAUAACACCUGUCCAAAAUGCUGACUAAGGGAUACAAAACUGCUGGCUAAGCAACUCAGCUUCGGCUGCCGGAUCGCAUGCAAAACCAUGCAACAUUCGGGGGCCGAACCUGAAUUCGGAAGCCGAAUAUUGGGCACUUUCGGCGGCCGAACUUGGCUCCUCUGCCUUGGUCCAUUUCAACUCAAAACUUGGUUCCAUCUACCUGUAACACAAUAAAUCACACAACAUUUCUUGAGAAACUCAUAUCUCCUACCCUCUAAAGGCUUCCGACAUCCCGGAGUCCACCGGACGACAAGACUUCCGGUGUCGGACUCUAGCCGGGUAUUACACUAUCUACAUCCCAUUUAUGAGGGCUUCAUAUUCUGCCAUAUUAUUGGAUGCAGGAAAUCCAAAGUGCAAAGCAUAUCACACCCUGAAUCCAUCUGGCCCUUUCAAAAGUAUCCUUGCCCCGCUACCAGCGGGGCUGGAUGUCCCAUCUGCGAAUAGAUUCCACAUGAACUCACGUGGCUGUUGAUCCCCUUCCUUCUCUUUUGCUGCACUCGGUGGCCUUUCACUCUGUUCCUCUUUGUUCGAGCUGAAAGAGCACUAAGCUAUGAAGUCAGCUAAGGCUUGGGCUUUGAUGGCUGUCAGAGGCCAGUAAAUGAUGCAGUAUGGGCUAAUUUCUAUGAACUAGGCUAGCAUCCGUCCCGAGGUCUCAGGUCUGUGCAAGAUUUUCUUCAAAAGCUGGUCAGUCAUCACUAUCCCUUAGUGGCAUUUCAGAUACACUCUGAACUUUCUUACUGCCAGCAACAAGGUGAAUCCUAGCUUUUCAAUAUUCAGGUACCUGACCUUGGCAUCCUUGAGCACCUUGCUCACAUAGAAGAUAGGAUUAUGCACCCCAGCUUCAUCCCUUACCAACACAGUGCUUAUAGCUUGUUUAGAGGCAGCUAAGUAUAUCAGAAAUUUCUCUCUAGCUAAAGGACUACUAAGAACAUGUAGAGAACUGAGGUAUUACUUGAGGUUUUUAAAGGCUUCUUGGCAAUCCUUUGUCCACUCAAAGUUUGAAACUUUCCUAAGCUUUUUGGAGAACGAUAAACAUCUUUCUGCCGAUUUUGACAUGAACUGGUUGAGCGUCGCCACUCUUCCUAUAAGUUUCUGCACGUCUCUCACGCUGGUAGGUUCAAGCAUUCUUAGUAUGGCCUCUACCUUUUUCGGAUUCGGCUCUAUACUCUUUCCGCUGACCAUGUAGCCUAGGAACUUCCCUCCUCUGAUAAAGAAAGCACACUUCACUGGGUUUAACCUCAUCUUGUAUCAUUGUAGCGCUCCGAAUACCUCUUCUAGGUCGGCUAGGUAUUGCUUAAAGGUUUGGCUUUUUACCAUCAUGUCAUCAACGUAGACUUCCACGUUCCUUCCUAUCUGAUCCUUAAAGAUCUUAUUCAUCAACCAUUGAUAUGUCACCCCUGCAUUUUUCAGCCCGAAGGGCAUGGCCUUGCAACAGUAUGUCCCAUCUUUGGUUAUAAAAGAGGUCUUUUCUUCAUCCGACCUGUCCAUGGGAAUCUGGUGCCCUGACGUUACAUCAAGGGAUGACAUGUAAUCAAAAGCGGCCAUAGAAUCGACCAUUUUAUUAAUAUGAGGGAAGGGAAUAACAAUCUUUUGGGCAUGCCUGAUUAAGGUCAAUAAAGUCUAUACACAUUCUAUAUUUCCCAUUGGCCUUUUUUACUAGUACGGAGUUGGCUAACCACUACGGGUACAUGACUUCCCUAAUAAAUUCUGUAACGACCCGAAAAUCGGACCGCUAUCGGCGCUAGGAUCCUGAUCGACUUAAGGUCACCGGGACCCGUUGCAAGCCUAACAUACAUCCUGUAUACCUGUCAAAUCCCAUACAUGAUCAUACAAUUUCAUUUACCAAGCUUAACCUGUGCAUGCACAAACUCAUAACCAUAAAACCUCACACUGGAGCCCUCAUCAAAUGCUCCAAUGGGGUGACAUAUCAUACAUUAAGCUUGGUUUACAUAAACAUGAUUAAAAUAUUUCAUUGAAAAGAUCAUGUACCUAAAAAAAAAAAAAGGGAUUAACAUACACUAGGGCCAAGCACAAUUCUAUCCUCAAUACAAUUCUUUACAUUACAUCACAUUAUAACAUUUUACAAUACAUGUCCACAUCUAACUAUUACAUAAAACAUAACUUCUUUACUCUUGCUGACUUCCUGGUCUAUCCCGUACCUGCAAACCUGGGGGUUAAGGGAAUGGGAUGAGCUACUAGAGCCCAGUGAGCAGAAUAGUAAAACAUUAUAUUUAAAAUUCAUGCUUUCAUGAAAUGCAUCACAUCACAAACAAAUCACCUUAAGGAUGAACUUGUCACCAAUAGCCCUCUACAUAUCCAAUAGUGCCAGAACGUAGAAUGGGUCCUGGUCUUUCUCUUACAUAACAUAUCAUAAUAUUCCAAUGUGCCAGGGACGUAGAAUGGGUCUUCCUGGACUUCCGUACUAUGUCAUCAUCAUAUCAUAUCAUACCAUACGAGGGCUAAUGGAUCACUUAAUGUUCAUCCACAUCAACAACAUAAUAUGCAAUGCAACAUAUUCGUGAAUUUUAAUGCAAACAACCUAAUAUAUCUCAUGGAAUUCAUGAUGCGUGAAUCAUGCUAAAACUUUCAUUAUUUGCUUUGAAACAUAAAGAGUGAUUCUACUCACCUCAGGCUAACUCUGAAAAGACACUGAAGCAGCUAACUCACUGCUGGGGUCCUCGGUUCUUUGGGUCUGAACCUACACAGGUGGACUCCAAUGAGGGACCAAACAUACAUGAACAUGACUCUAAACAACUCCCCAAAAACCCCCCUAAAGCACCUUAAAACAAUCAUAGAAAACAUGCAAAGGAAGGCUGAACAGGGCACUUUCGGCGGCAGGUUCGGCGGCCGAAAGUACCUCCAGAGCCGAAACUCAGCCACUUUUGGCGGCACCUUCGACGGCCGAAAGUCCCUUCCAGAGACGAAACUCAUGCAUGUUCGGUGGCACCUUCGGCGGCCGAAACUCCUCUCCAGAGCCGAAAGUCCAACUUUCGGGGGCAGGGUUCGGCAGCCAAAGGCUUGCCUCCACAGGCAAGUUCGGCGGCCGAAAGUCCUUCGGUUGCCGAACCUGAGUUCUUCCAAAGUGGUAGAACUCAGCCUCCUCAUGCACAUUUUGCCUCCCAAACCAUUCAAACAUGCAUUUAGCUAUUCUAUAACAUGCAUACACACAUACAUAAGCAUAUAGGGGUCUCAAACUAACCUAAACCCCAACACAAACACAAAGCAUAUACACAUACAACAUACAUUAUCCAUAAACUCAACAUUAACCCUAACAAAAAUCAACUAACCUAAACAUGCAUUUCUACCCCAUAACCUCUCAUAAAACUUGCUCAAAACAUGGAAUAAGCUAAAGAUCUACCCUUACCUCUUGAAGAUCGAGAGGGGAGGCGACCUACACUUGGAGAAAUGGAGAAAGAGAGCUUCGGGGCCUCCAAGCUUCAAAUCUUGAUCUUAGCUCCAAAAACUUCAAAAACCAAGUUAAAACUCGUUAAAACUUGAAAGAUUUGAGAAAAAUCAUCAAAACCAACCAUGGGAGGGCAUGAACUCACCAUUGACCGAAAAUAGGGGAGAAAGCUCGCCCAUUUUCGGCCGUGGGGCCUUUUAUAGGUGGCUGGCCAGACCACCUUUGGAAGCCAAAGGUGACUCCAAAACUCUACCAUGUUCGGCGGUCGAACCUGGAUUUUCCUCAAUGGUCAUUUUCAUUCAAAACUCAAUUUCUUUCUUACUUAAAACUAUAAAAUACAUGAAAACAUUUUUGUAACGACCCGAAAAUCGGACCGCUACCGGCGCUAGGAUCCAGAUCGGCAUAAGGCUGCCGGGACCCGUAGCAAGCCAAACAUUCAUCCUGUGAACCUGUUUAAUCCCAUACAUGAUCAACAACAUACAUAAAAAAUUUGAACUUUUCUUUCCAUUCAAUCACCAAACUCAACCUGUGCAUGCACUAUACAUAGACAUAACCAUCAACCCACACUGGAGUCCUCAACAAUGCUCCAAUGGGGUAAUAUAACAUACAUUGAGUUUGGUUCAACAUAAACAUCUAUUAAAAACAUUACAUUUAAAAGAUCAUGUAAACAAAGGGGAUUAACAUACAACUAGGGUCAAGCACAUCUCUAAUCCUUAAUAUCAUCAUUACAUUACAUAACUGUACUAAACAUCAUAUAUCAAUAUUUCUCAUGUCCACACUAGCUAUUACAUGACCAUAACUUCAUUACUCUUGCUGACCUCCUGGUCUACCCUGUACCUGCAAAUAUGGGAGUUAAGGGAGAGGGGUGAGCUACUAGAGUCCAGUGAGCAGAAUAAUAAAACAUUUAUAUUAAAGGUUCAUGCUUUCAUGGAAUGCAUCACAUCACAACUAAUCAUAUCAAGGAUGAACUUGUCACCACUUAGCCCUCUACAUAUUCCAAUCAUGCCAGGGGCGUAGUGCAGGCCACACCUGGUCUUUCUCUUAUACAUAACAUAUCAUACAUGACCAACUGUGCCGGGGGCGUAGUGCAGGCCACACCUGGACUUCCAUAUCUUAUCAUCAUGUCAUAGCAUAUGAGGGCUAAUAGAUCAUUCAACAUUCAUCCACAUUAACAACAUAUUAUGCAAUGCAACAUAUUCGUGAAUUCUAAUGCAAACACCCUAAUAUAUCUCAUGGCAUUCAUGAUGCGUGAAUCAUGCUAAACCUUCAUUUAAUUUCUCAAUUUAAAACAUUAAGUUUUAGUUCCACUCACCUCUAGCUGAAGCUCUACUGACUCUGAAGCAGCUAUCUCACUGCUGAGGUCCUCGAUUCCUCGGGUCCGAACCUACACAGGUGGACUCAAAUGAGGGACCAAGCAUCUAUGAUCAUGACUCUAAAAUACUCCCCAAAAGCCCCCUCAAACACCUUAAAACAUCCAUAGAAAACAUGCAAAGGAGGGCUGGACAGGGCACUUUCGGCGGCAGGUUCGGCGGCCGAAAGGCCCUUCAGAGCCGAAAGUCAUGCACCUUCGGCGGCACUUUCGGCGGCCGAAAGUUCCCUCCAUAGACGAAACUCAUGCAUGUUCGGCGGCACCUUUGGCAGCCGAAAAUCCCUUCCAGAGCCGAAAGUCAUCUUUCGGGGUCAGGGUUCGGCAGCCGAUUCAUGCUACCACAGGCAGGUUCGGCGGCCGAAAGAACCUUCGGCUGCCGAA